This 572-nucleotide ribosomal RNA is filed under the name uncultured bacterium. RNAcentral's name for it is "bacterial SSU rRNA". It matches the Rfam family "Bacterial small subunit ribosomal RNA", at positions 169 to 739 of the family's 1533-position model. The record is from RNAcentral.
CCUGAGGGUAUGAUGAGAUUGCAUGAUAGCAUCAUUAAAGAUUUAUCGGUGUACGAUGGGGAUGCGUUCCAUUAGGUAGUAGGCGGGGUAACGGCCCACCUAGCCAACGAUGGAUAGGGGUUCUGAGAGGAAGGUCCCCCACAUUGGAACUGAGACACGGUCCAAACUCCUACGGGAGGCAGCAGUGAGGAAUAUUGGUCAAUGGACGAGAGUCUGAACCAGCCAAGUAGCGUGAAGGAUGAAGGUCCUACGGAUUGUAAACUUCUUUUAUAAGGGAAUAAACCCUCCCACGUGUGGGAGCUUGUAUGUACCUUAUGAAUAAGCAUCGGCUAACUCCGUGCCAGCAGCCGCGGUAAUACGGAGGAUGCGAGCGUUAUCCGGAUUUAUUGGGUUUAAAGGGAGCGCAGACGGGUCGUUAAGUCAGCUGUGAAAGUUUGGGGCUCAACCUUAAAAUUGCAGUUGAUACUGGCGUCCUUGAGUGCGGUUGAGGUGUGCGGAAUUCGUGGUGUAGCGGUGAAAUGCUUAGAUAUCACGAAGAACUCCGAUUGCGAAGGCAGCACACUAAUCCGUAA